UCUAUGAAGUUGCCUCUGACCUUACAUGA
Molecule: non-coding RNA, 29 nt
Filed under: Mus musculus (house mouse)
Lineage: Eukaryota; Metazoa; Chordata; Mammalia; Rodentia; Muridae
Source: RNAcentral